AAGGUUAACCGAAUAGGGGAGCCGAAGGGAAACCGAGUCUUAACUGGGCGUUAAGUUGCAGGGUAUAGACCCGAAACCCGGUGAUCUAGCCAUGGGCAGGUUGAAGGUUGGGUAACACUAACUGGAGGACCGAACCGACUAAUGUUGAAAAAUUAGCGGAUGACUUGUGGCUGGGGGUGAAAGGCCAAUCAAACCGGGAGAUAGCUGGUUCUCCCCGAAAGCUAUUUAGGUAGCGCCUCGUGAAUUCAUCUCCGGGGGUAGAGCACUGUUUCGGCAAGGGGGUCAUCCCGACUUACCAACCCGAUGCAAACUGCGAAUACCGGAGAAUGUUAUCACGGGAGACACACGGCGGGUGCUAACGUCCGUCGUGAAGAGGGAAACAACCCAGACCGCCAGCUAAGGUCCCAAAGUCAUGGUUAAGUGGGAAACGAUGUGGGAAGGCCCAGACAGCCAGGAUGUUGGCUUAGAAGCAGCCAUCAUUUAAAGAAAGCGUA
Molecule: ribosomal RNA, 494 nt
Filed under: Escherichia coli
Lineage: Bacteria; Pseudomonadati; Pseudomonadota; Gammaproteobacteria; Enterobacterales; Enterobacteriaceae
Description: partial 23S ribosomal RNA
Rfam family: Bacterial large subunit ribosomal RNA
Source: RNAcentral